AUGAUCCGAGCGGUGCAGGUCGUCACCAGGGGGGAGAGCCGCCGGGCUGCGCUGGCGUCGGUGGCCGGCUACGUCAGCCACCGCGGCUACUCCACGGCCUCGAGCUCGCAGAGGCUGGCCGGGAAGGUGGCCGUGAUCACCGGCGGGGCCAGCGGCAUCGGCAAGGCGACGGCCGCGGAGUUCGUCAGGAACGGCGCCAAGGUCGUCCUCGCCGACGUCCAGGACGACCUGGGCCGCGCCCUGGCGGCCGACCUCGGCCCGGACGCGGCAUGCUACACGCGCUGCGACGUGACCGACGAGGCGCAGGUCGCCGCGGCCGUGGACCUCGCGGUGGCCCGCCACGGCAAGUUGGACAUCAUGCUCAAUAACGCCGGCAUCGUGGGCUCCCUGGCGCGUCCCCGGCUGAGCGAUCUCGACCUCGCGGACUUCGACGCCGUCAUGGCGAUCAACGCCCGGGGCGUGAUUGCCGGGGUGAAGCACGCGGCCCGCGUCAUGGCGCCGCGCCGCAGCGGCAGCAUCAUCUGCAUGGCCAGCGUCGCCGGCGUGCUGGGCAGCGUGACGCCGCACCCGUACAGCGUGUCCAAGGCGGCGGUGGUCGGGAUCGUGCGCGCCGUGGCGGGGGAGAUGGCGCGCUCCGGGGUGCGCGUCAACGCCGUCUCGCCCAACUACAUCCCGACGCCGCUGGUGAUGCGCAUCCUGGAGGAGUGGUACCCGAAGGCCAGCGCGGAGGAGCACCGGCGGAUCGUGGAGGGGGACAUCAACGAGAUGGAGGGCGCGGUGCUGGAGCCGGACGACAUCGCAAGGGCGGCGCUGUACCUGGCGUCCGACGAGGCCAAGUACGUCAACGGGCACAACCUCGUCGUCGACGGCGGGUUCACGGUGGGGAAGCCGCCCAACAUGCCGGCACCGGCGCUGUAA
Molecule: ribosomal RNA, 918 nt
Filed under: Triticum aestivum (bread wheat)
Lineage: Eukaryota; Viridiplantae; Streptophyta; Magnoliopsida; Poales; Poaceae
Description: partial small subunit ribosomal RNA
Source: RNAcentral